This 554-nucleotide ribosomal RNA is filed under the name Perlohmannia sp. PP-2016. RNAcentral's name for it is "eukaryotic LSU rRNA". It matches the Rfam family "Eukaryotic large subunit ribosomal RNA", at positions 645 to 1162 of the family's 3401-position model. The record is from RNAcentral. Lineage: Eukaryota; Metazoa; Arthropoda; Arachnida; Sarcoptiformes; Perlohmanniidae.
UGACCCGUCUUGAAACACGGACCAAGGAGUCUAACAUGUGCGCGAGUCACUCGGUCUUGAAUAGGCCAGAGAGGCGCAAUGAAAGUAAAGUUGAUUGAGUUACGAUCCUUGUUUAGUCACUCUGUGACGGCAAGGCGCAGUAACAGCCCGCCAAUUUCGCCUUUUGACGAUAUGGCGGAGUUGUAGCGUACACGUUGGUACCCGAAAGAUGGUGAACUAUGCCUGGGCAAGACGAAGCCAGAGGAAACUCUGGUGGAGGUCUGUAGCGAUUCUGACGUGCAAAUCGAUCGUCAGACCUGGGUAUAGGGGCGAAAGACUAAUCGAACCAUCUAGUAGCUGGUUCCCUCUGAAGUUUCCCUCAGGAUAGCAGACACUCGGUGAGAUUCAGUCUCAUCCGGUAAAGCGAAUGAUUAGAGGCAUUGGGGUCGAAACGACCUCAACCUAUUCUCAAACUUUAAAUGGGUGAGAAGCAUGACUUGUUUGAUUAAAGCCUUGCUUUUGGAUGUAUGAGUGCCUAGUGGGCCAUUUUUGGUAAGCAGAACUGGCGCUGUGGG